This 513-nucleotide long non-coding RNA is filed under the name Capsicum annuum. RNAcentral describes it as "long non-coding RNA (CANN_LNC014154)". Lineage: Eukaryota; Viridiplantae; Streptophyta; Magnoliopsida; Solanales; Solanaceae. The record is from RNAcentral.
GUCCUGCGCUGGCUACGCAGUUCUGGAGUACAGGGAUUGCUGCUAACAACUCUGCCUCUCUAACGGGGAAGCCGCCACUCCCAUACUCGCUCGAUGCUAGUUUCGACUCUCAACUGAAAGACUCUGAACUAAUUCUUAGCUGAAUUAAAACUGAGUUAAAUCUGUUAUUAUUCAUAUUUCUUGACAUAUCUGAUUGGGCUCACUUGGUUCUAUUAUCUGACGGAAUACUACUAAAUCUAAUAUCUGACAGAAUGAUACUAAGUUUUGAAUUCUGUAACUAACUAAGUUCUACUGAUCAAAGCAUGACUGAAAUUAUCUUGAAACUGACUCGGCUCUAGGCACACAACUAUAUUUUUCAGGUACAAGUAACCCCAGGACUCGAUAGAAGAAAACUGACAAAACAUAACUUCUUGAAUUCACGACUAACAUCAACAUCAUAACAUGUAUUCAAGUAUACAUAAUUGAGAAUUUCAUACUAACAUAUAAUAAUUCAUUCAACAAGGGAUGCACAAG